CAAUCAUCCAAAAUUUCAAUUUCCGGCACUUUGAUUUUAAAAUUGGAAUGCGUCGUUUAUCGUUACAGGUUUAAUUAGUAUAUUCAAUAUAAUUCUCACAGGUAUAAAUUUAUUAAAAUAAAUAAUUAGCUUAAAAUUUUAAAUUAAAAUAGUAUUGACUAAUUCAAAUUAGAUAAAAUUAAUUUUUUUUAAAAAAUUAAAUAGUCAAUUCAAAUUGAUCCAUAGUUCAAAUAAAUUUUGUAUAU
Molecule: long non-coding RNA, 245 nt
Filed under: Ananas comosus (pineapple)
Lineage: Eukaryota; Viridiplantae; Streptophyta; Magnoliopsida; Poales; Bromeliaceae
Description: long non-coding RNA (ACOM_LNC038737)
Source: RNAcentral